CCUACCUUUCAGCGGGGGAUAACCAUUGGAAACGAUGACUAAUACCGCAUAGGACUUUGAGUCACCUGACUUAAAGAGGAAAGACGGCUUCGGCUGUCACUGAAAGAUGGCUCCGCGGUGCAUUAGCUAGAUGGUAAGGUAACGGCUUACCAUGGCCAUGAUGCAUAGCCGACCUGAGAGGGUGAUCGGCCACAUUGGGACUGAGACACGGCCCAAACUCCUACGGGAGGCAGCAGUAGGGAAUCUUCCGCAAUGGACGCAAGUCUGACGGAGCAACGCCGCGUGUGUGAAGAAGGUCUUCGGAUCGUAAAGCACUGUUGUUAGAGAAGAACACCCGGUAGAGUAACUGUUACCGGCAUGACGGUAUCUAACCAGAAAGCCACGGCUAACUACGUGCCAGCAGCCGCGGUAAUACGUAGGUGGCAAGCGUUGUCCGGAUUUAUUGGGCGUAAAGAGUGAGCAGGCGGCAGUUUAAGUCUGAAGUCAAAUGCAGUGGCUCAACCACUGUCCGCUUUGGAAACUGAACAGCUAGAGUACGAGAGAGGUAUGUGGAAUUCCAUGUGUAGCGGUGAAAUGCGUAGAUAUAUGGAGGAACACCAGAGGCGAAGGCGGCAUACUG
Molecule: ribosomal RNA, 619 nt
Filed under: uncultured bacterium
Lineage: Bacteria
Description: bacterial SSU rRNA
Rfam family: Bacterial small subunit ribosomal RNA
Source: RNAcentral